UAUGGCUCAGCUUUACCAUAAGCCUCUGCAGGUUUAUGAAAUAUUACCUGCAUUAAUACAUCAGCCAGGCCUAAUUGCACCCCUAAUGGGGUAAAUUGUAGGGUUAAUUAUGUUAAAUUACAUACAGAAUAGCAAUUAUGCAUGAGCUGGACUGGUAAUAGGGGGUUAAUACUUAAUAGAUACUGCUCUAUACAAGUAUACUGAGCCUAUGCCAACUCAUUGUGAAGCCAACUUGCUUACAUGUUAAGACACUCAAAGGAAUGAAACCACAAAAUAGGAGAUUUUAAGCCAAUGAUUGCAUUGUUUCCUGUUGUAUUUUUCAAUAUUGGAAGUUUAAUGACAUUUGUCAAGGAUCUUAAAUUGAACUGAUGUACUCUGCUUAGAAACAGUUGCCAUGGCGACAGAUACAGCAUUACUCACAAAGCUGAUUCAGGAUGCGGUUCAAAAACUCUGCAUGCAACAUGUGCAUUCAUCCACCAUGGUUGAAAUAGAUGGUAUUAUAUGCGUCUCGCCUAUAAACGAGCGAGACAUCGUCAUCAAAAUGCAUAAAACAUUGGAAAAGUCGGCAGAGGCAACAGUGUCAAAUAUCCAAAAUGUGCUGGCGGAAAAGCUAAAACAGCAAAGUAUGGACCGUGCUAGUCAGGAUUUUAUGAACAAUAUUGAAUCAAAUUGCCAGUUAGCCAAAUCCCCAGAAGAUAUGUACAGUUCUGCAAUGACAUGGCUUAAGACGCAACCGUUAAUGUCCCCAUUUCAGCACAUUUCUGCACAUCAGUUAUUAGCGCAGCAAGCAGCUCUUGCCCAUAAUGCAACACAAGAAUCAACACAGGAGGUUAAACAAGCUGACCAACCUGUCAAUUUGACGCUAAAAAGGAAAUCAACUGAAGCCCAUGAAAAGGUGGAGCCACCAUACAGUGCUAAGCGGUCACGUCAGGCAAGUGAGAGAAAUGACAGAGUUGACGAGGAUGACUGUGUUACAGUUGACGACAGAGAUGAUAUUAAAGAAGAGGUUUUCAAUGAUACUAAUGAUAUUACACAGGAAGACCCGCAACCCCCUAGACCACUUUACCCCCAUACUCGAGCUGUUCUUCACAAUGGACUGACAACCCAUAAGCCACCAGCAGAUGUUGGCUGGCCCGGGACACCCUCUAUAUAUGGCUUAUAUGGUAACCAUAGCAACAACAACAGUGCUAAUGUUGCCAGUGGCAACAACUUUAACAAUUUCAAUGCUGACUCAGAUUCAUUGCCGAGGAUUGGCAAAAGUCGCAAUCGGACAGCCUACAGUAAUGCUCAAAUUUACCAACUCGAACAGGAAUUUUUAAUAAAUCGUUACAUAAAUCGGCCGAGGAGACACGAACUUGCUUUAUUGCUCGGGCUCAAUGAGCUUCAGAUUAAAAUUUGGUUCCAAAAUCGUCGAAUGAAAGAAAAAAAAGAAAAAGGUGGAUCCGUCUCUGGAACCUGGAAUACAAGAGACAGUUUAGACGAUUCCAUGCUUAGUUCUGAAAAUGACCACCAGGGGUCCCCACCAGUUUCUCCAUAUAAGGAUGAUAGUCCGACAAGAGGGACGGUUAAUGAUGCGGAUGACAUGAAACAGGAAAAUAUUCAAGGCAAUGUGAAUAAGGAGUUCACUAAACAAGAGAUUAAAACGGAAUGAAUGGAAUAAAAUUCAAUGUUACUGUCAAAUACUCUUACGCAUUUAUAAUUCUGCACAUAUGAAGUCCCUGCCUUGCUUAUGAAAUCAAAUCAUCAUGUGUUAUGUCCAAUAAUAUCAGGAUUUAAAAAUAUAGCUCCUCACCAUAGCUGUCAAAUAUUAUAUCGAUCCUCAUAUAAGCAGCACUUGUGAAAUGUCUCAAUAAGAUCAUACUGAAAAGUAGGAAUGAUCGAGAAAUUGUAAAUACAAUGAAAUUGGAUAAUGUGACUGAUAGACAUAAAACUGGAUCAGGAGAAUGCUAUUUAUCUCCUUAAAGAGAAAAUGGGAUCUAUAUUCAGAAGAUUCAAUCAACUUUUAGUCAACAGACAAAAUUGUUAAAGUGGAUGAAAAGUGGAUCUUGGAAAAUCCUUGCAUCGAAAGUAUUGACCAUAUUGUUCAGUGAUCUUCCCACAUCAUUUUUGCAACAAUGUGCUAAAUCCCUUUUUUUAAUUUUACCAGUUUUGGGUGAAAUUAAUGUUGCAACAUCUUGACAGAGUGCAAAGUUGCAAACAAAUGUUCAAUAUGGUAGCAUGUAAUUAAAGAAUUUUUGACAAGCUGUAGGACCCAGCCGCUUGAAUGCUGUUGAGAUCACUCCUACCCAGGCCCAUAGACAGGGGGGGUUUGGGGUCAAGCAAAACCCCCUGGCCAAAAAUUCUUUCAAAAUCAUGCACUUUUUUACCAUUAUGAUGACUUUUCAAGUGAUUAUGGCCAAAGUUGUCUAUAUUGAGCUCCCCAUGUGAAUUUUCUAAAAAGUGAACCCCCUUGGCAAAUCCUGGCUACGGGCCUACCUACCAAUAUAUUUCUUUCAUGUAUAUGUUCGAGAAAUACAUGUUUUUGGAGAAUGUGAA
RNAcentral lists this unclassified non-coding RNA (2535 nucleotides) under Owenia fusiformis. Its description in RNAcentral is "misc RNA OFUS_LOCUS3974". Lineage: Eukaryota; Metazoa; Annelida; Polychaeta; Sabellida; Oweniidae. The record is from RNAcentral.